UGGGGAAUAUUGCACAAUGGGGGAAACCCUGAUGCAGCAACGCCGCGUGCGGGAUGACGGCCUUCGGGUUGUAAACCGCUUUCAGCCAUGACGAAGCUUUUGUGACGGUAGUGGCAGAAGAAGCACCGGCUAACUACGUGCCAGCAGCCGCGGUGAUACGUAGGGUGCGAGCGUUGUCCGGAAUUAUUGGGCGUAAAGAGCUUGUAGGCGGUUUGUUGCGUCGAAAGUGUAAACUCAGUGCUUAACGCUGAGCCUGCUUUCGAUACGGGCUGACUAGAGGAAGGUAGGGGAGAAUGGAAUUCCCGGUGGAGCGGUGGAAUGCGCAGAUAUCGGGAGGAACACCAGUGGCGAAGGCGGUUCUCUGGACCUUUCCUGACGCUGAGAAGCGAAAGCGUGGGUAGCAAACAGG
RNAcentral lists this ribosomal RNA (409 nucleotides) under bacterium. Its description in RNAcentral is "partial 16S ribosomal RNA". It matches the Rfam family "Bacterial small subunit ribosomal RNA", at positions 355 to 776 of the family's 1533-position model. The record is from RNAcentral.